CGUCAUUACAACCCUCAAGCUCUGCUUGGUAUUGGGCCCCACCCCCGCACGGGGGUCGGCCUCAAAGUCAUUGGCGGUGCCCAUUGGUCUCCGAGCGCAGUAAUAAUAAUCUCGCUUUCCGAGCCGGUGCGGCCCCACGCCAGAACCCAAACUCAUAUAAGGUUGACCUCGGAUCAGGUAGGGAUACCCGCUGAACUUAA
RNAcentral lists this unclassified non-coding RNA (200 nucleotides) under soil metagenome. RNAcentral's name for it is "partial contains internal transcribed spacer 2 and large subunit ribosomal RNA". The record is from RNAcentral.